GAUGAACGCUGGCGGCGUGCCUAAUACAUGCAAGUCGAGCGAACGGACGAUAAGCUUGCUUCUCUGAUGUUAGCGGCGGACGGGUGAGUAACACGUGUAUAACCUACCUAUAAGACUGGGAUAACUUCGGGAAACCGGAUCUAAUACCGUAUGAUAUUUUGAACCGCAUGGGUCAAAAGUGAAAGACGGUCUUGCUGUCACUUAUAGAUGGAUCCGCGCUGCAUUAGCUAGUUGGUAAGGUAACGGCUUACCAAGGCAACGAUGCAUAGCCGACCUGAGAGGCUGAUCGGCCACCCUGGAACGGAGACACGGUCCAGACUACUACGGGAGGCAGCAGUAGGGAAUCUUACGCAAUGGGCGAAAGCCUGACGGAGCAACGCCGCGUGAGUGAUGAAGGUCUUCGGAUCGUAAAACUCUGUUAUUAGGGAAGAACAUAUGUGUAAGUAACUGUGCACAUCUUGACGGUACCUAAUCAGAAAGCAACGGCUAACUACGUG
This 497-nucleotide ribosomal RNA is filed under the name uncultured bacterium. Its description in RNAcentral is "partial 16S ribosomal RNA". It matches the Rfam family "Bacterial small subunit ribosomal RNA", at positions 28 to 507 of the family's 1533-position model. The record is from RNAcentral.